GGAAUUUAACGACNUGCNGANGUUUAGUAUCUAACAUUGGUGCCGUUGGUUUUAUAGGAUCUCACACCUUGGACCGCUCGUUGUGACAGCCUAACACAUGCAAGUCGAACGGCAGCACAGGAGAGCUUGCUCUCUGGGUGGCGAGUGGCGGACGGGUGAGGAAUACAUCGGAAUCUACUCUGUCGUGGGGGAUAACGUAGGAAACUUACGCUAAUACCGCAUACGACCUACGGGUGAAAGCAGGGUGACCUUCGGGCCUUGCGCGAUUGAAUGAGCCGAUGUCGGAUUAGCUAGUUGGCGGGGUAAAGGCCCACCAAGGCGACGAUCCGUAGCUGGUCUGAGAGGAUGAUCAGCCACACUGGAACUGAGACACGGUCCAGACUCCUACGGGAGGCAGCAGUGGGGAAUAUUGGACAAUGGGCGCAAGCCUGAUCAAUCGGUGGGUAGUU
This 449-nucleotide ribosomal RNA is filed under the name uncultured bacterium. RNAcentral describes it as "bacterial SSU rRNA". The stretch from base 89 to 438 matches the Rfam family "Bacterial small subunit ribosomal RNA", at positions 46 to 392 of the family's 1533-position model. The record is from RNAcentral.